This is a long non-coding RNA of Carassius auratus (goldfish), 1279 nucleotides long. RefSeq lists it as uncharacterized. The record is from RefSeq and is a predicted model, not a curated record. The transcript has 3 exons. Lineage: Eukaryota; Metazoa; Chordata; Actinopteri; Cypriniformes; Cyprinidae.
GGAGAUCUCAAGCCUCUCCUCGGCCUUAACCGAUGCUGAAAGCAUCAUACUGGUAAGGACCAAAGAGAAAAUCACAAACAAACCAUCACUGCUCUAUCAGAGCAACUCAAGGACACACUCAAGGAGCUGAGAGAGAAAACCAAGGAGAAAAAGGAGGCUGAACUAGGCUGGAAGAAAGAAAAUAAAGAGAGAGCUUUUGAGGAAGGAAAACUAAGAGACAAUCUUCUGAAGAGGGAUAAACUCAUAGAGCAAGUUCUUCUGGAGUUAGAGGAUCGUGACGGUGUGUUAACAGAGCUACAGCAAAAUAUCUCUAGCAGACUUGGACCCAAAAUAGCCCUCAAACACACACUGUGAGUGUGUGAUUAAACACAUAAUGUGAGUUCCAUAUACUGAACUUGAUAACUGCUCAAUAUAUUGUUAAUGGCACUACUUUCAUUGAGUGCAAUCUAAAACAAUAGCUCAGCUUCUAAUAAAGUUAAUUCUUUUAAAACAGUAAUUCUCUAUUUCUAAUUCUCUAAACAGUAAGUCAUGUCAACGUAUAUAGGUUGUGAAUAGUGCCAUUUGCAUGUUCAGCCAGAUUCUUCAAAACUAAACUUUUGAGAAAGUUGAGUGUAUAUUAUGAAAUGUUUUUUUUUUUUUUUUUUUUUUUUAGUUUAAAUGAAUUUAUGACUGGGCCAUUACAUGUAGCUUUAGGAAUUUAGAUUGCACUCAGACAUAAAAUGUUUGUUACUUCCCACACUUCCAGAUUGUGGUUCCAAGAUUUACAUGGUUGCACACACACACACGUGCCUUUCAGCACACACUUUGCUUAUUAAUAAUUAUUUUCAUAUACCACAAUCCUGGCAUUAUUAUUAUUACAUGUUUAAAUUGUUUUUUAUUAAUUAUGUAUGGAUAUGUUGAACGCUGCUUUUCUUGUUACUGUUUGAUUUGUCUUUCCCCAACGUGAUUUUCCAUGUGAUCUUAUAUUUGUUCUUUAUUUAUAAAUGUUUAGUUUGUUUUGGAUUAUGGUACAAACUGGGAUGUGCUAUAUUCAUUACAGUGUAGAGAAAACUUGUGCACAAUAGAAGGAUUUACAAGACUCUCUGGAAAGAACAUGUUUUAAACGGCUUAUUUUAUCUGAGUACGCUGAAAUCCCCAUGACUUGGUGCAUACCUCAUAAGUCACAUUUAAAAUGAAGCCUCAAGUUUGUGUGGGUUUUUUAAAGGUUUGUUGGAGGUUUUCUUUUAUGUAUGAAAUAUUAAAGGUUCGUCCUUGAGAACCUGGGGGUAUAAUUGACAAU